This 281-nucleotide unclassified non-coding RNA is filed under the name Hevea brasiliensis (rubber tree). Lineage: Eukaryota; Viridiplantae; Streptophyta; Magnoliopsida; Malpighiales; Euphorbiaceae. The record is from RNAcentral.
GAGGGGUGGUUAGGGCCACUGGACAAGCACUAUGUUUCCUCUCUAAAUAUUUGUAAUGCACAACAUCAGAAAAGUGAAUAAAAGCAAGCUUGCCUUCUGAUGAGAAAGGAAUAAGCCUAACAAAGUGACAGCUUUAUCUUUUUGCCUGGAUAAUUAGAGGAACUGCGUGCUCAGUUUUUCUAUUUACUGCGUCAGAGCCUUUUCUGCAGUUACAAUUUAUUUGACUUCCUGCUCUAUCUACAUUUCCUUUCCAUUCCAAGAAUAUAUAAUGCCGAAGUAUC